GCUGAUAAUGGAGAGAUAGACUGUUUCUCAACCAUGGCAAGUACACCAAUUUUAACAGUAAAGACCCUUCAUAUCAAUUCAGCGAUUCUUGCUGCAAGAAGUCGUUUCUUUCUAAAGCUUUUCUCAAAUGGCAUGAAUGAAUCUGAUCAGACGCAUCCAAGAAUCAGGAUUGCUGAUUCAGAGGAAAAUGCCUUUAUGGAGCUUUUAAGCUUCAUGUACAGUGGAAAGUUGACAACAAUUGAGCCCACUCUUCUGCUUGACAUCUUAAUGGCUUCCGACAAAUUUGAGGUUCUUUCUUGCAUGAGGUACUGCAGUCAGUUGCUCAGAAGCCUGCCUAUGACCACAGAAUCUGCACUGCUAUACCUAGACCAUCCAUGCUCCCUUUCAAUGGCUGUUGAAGUUCAGGGUGUGGUAGGUGCAGCCAGGGAAUUCCUUGCUGAGAAAUACAAGAUUUUAGACAAGUUUGAAGAAUUGAUGAACAUCUCUCUUUCUGGAAUCGAGGUGAUCUUUUCAAGCACUGACAUACAAGUAGCAUCUGAAGAUGCGGUAUAUAACUUCUUGCUCGAGUGGGCCCGUGCGCGAUACCUGGAACCGGAGGAAAGACGUGAGAUCUUGAGCAGCCGUUUGCUUCCGCUGGUAAGCUUCAGUCAUAUGACAUGUGCGGCACUUCAGGAGAUCCUAGCAUCCACUGAUGAUGACAUAGACCGUGAGCAAGUAACCAAGCGCAUCAAUGAGGUCCUUCUUCACAAAGCUUACCCAACCCAGAUGGAAGGUGCUCUUGCAGCAGAUGCAUCAACUCUCAAUUGGCAGUCUGCUGAGCGAACUUACGGGUCCAAACAUGUGAAAGCGGUUGCAUUUGAUCGACCUUACCCACAGGUUAUAGUUUACAUGGAUCUAAAGCGCGACGAGUGCUCCCAAUUCUUCCCAUCAGGAGUUAUAUUGUCAGACUGGUUCCAUCUCGCAGGUCAGAAAUUCUAUCUCAUGGCAAACUGUGUACUGGAUGAGCAGACAGAGUUGUACAGCUUUGGCCUCUGGUUAGGGAUAUAUGGAAAUUCUAUUUCAGGCUCGCUGUGUUUCGAUAUUGAGUUUGCUGCAAGGACAAGAUCGUCAGGAAAAUUCUUGAGCAAGUACGGCGGUAGGCACACAUUCAGCGGGCCUUUGCUGGAGGGAUGCGAUGAUCUUUUUGGAGUUCCAUGGUCGACGUUCAUUGCGGACGACAGCCUCUUCAUCGACGGCGUGCUGCAUCUGAGAGUUGAUCUGACUGCGGUGGAGUAG
RNAcentral lists this ribosomal RNA (1275 nucleotides) under Triticum aestivum (bread wheat). RNAcentral describes it as "partial small subunit ribosomal RNA". The record is from RNAcentral. Lineage: Eukaryota; Viridiplantae; Streptophyta; Magnoliopsida; Poales; Poaceae.